This 441-nucleotide ribosomal RNA is filed under the name uncultured bacterium. RNAcentral's name for it is "bacterial SSU rRNA". It matches the Rfam family "Bacterial small subunit ribosomal RNA", at positions 338 to 795 of the family's 1533-position model. The record is from RNAcentral.
CCUACGGGCUGCAGCAGUGGGGAAUAUUGGACAAUGGGCAAAAGCCUGAUCCAGCAAUGCCGCGUGUGUGAAGAAGGUCUUCGGAUUGUAAAGCACUUUCGACGGGGGCGAUGAUGACGGUACCCGUAGAAGAAGCCCCGGCUAACUUCGUGCCGGCAGCCGUGGUAAUACGAAGGGGGCUAGCGCUGCUCGGAAUGACUGGGCGUAAAGGGCGCGUAGGCGGUUUAUGCAGUCAGAUGUGAAAUCCCCGGGCUUAACCUGGGAACUGCAUUUGAGACGCAUAGACUAGAGGUCGAGAGAGGGUUGUGGAAUUCCCAGUGUAGAGGUGAAAUUCGUAGAUAUUGGGAAGAACACCGGUGGCGAAGGCGGCAACCUGGCUCGAUACUGACGCUGAGGCGCGAAAGCGUGGGGAGCAAACAGGAUUAGAUACCCCUGGUAGUC